UUUGAUAUCUCUAAGACUCAACGCAUGAUAGCAUGUAGAGACUAACAUCGUAUUCUGCACCCUUUGUCAAUCGCGGCCAACAAGCCCGUUGACAUGCAGAGAUUUACGUCAUCUUCCGCACAGACAACCUCUGUCAGUACUAACCCGUGAAGUUAGGGGGCAGGCAGAAAUACCCAAGUGGUUAUUCGUAUAAACAUUCUUUUGCUAUCCAUCAGACCCAGAGCACGAUAGCAUGCUGAGACUAACAUCGUCUUCUGCACCUUUUGUCGUCCUGACCCGUGAAGUCAGGUGACAUGCGGGGAACCUUAUGGUCCCGCACCUUUUGCCAACCAGGGGUAAACGAGCCCGUUGACGUGCAGAGACUAACAUCGUUUCCUGCACCUUUUGUCAUCCUGACCCGUGAAGUCAGGUGACAUGCGGGGCAACCUUAUGGUCCCGCACCUUUUGUCAACCAGAGGCAAGCGAGCACAUUGACAUGCGGGGAACCAUUUGGUCUCAUACUUUUUUCACAUUUUGUCAUCCAGAGGCGGCGGGCCCGAUGACAUGCGAGGGAACCAUUUGGUCCCGCAUCUUUUUUUUCACUAUCCAGAGACAAUCAAGUCCGGAGCCCCGUGAAUUGAUUGCCCAGCGCUGUUCAUCCAUCCUCCACCAUCAAGUCCGAAGCCCCAUGAAUUGAUUGCCUAGCGCUGUUCAUGCCUCCUCCAUCAUUGAGUCCGGAGCCCCAUGAAUUGAUUGCCUAGCGCUGUUCAUGCAUCCUCCACCAUCAAGUCCAGAGUCCCACGAAUUGAUUUCCUAGCGCUGUUCGUGCAUCCUAAAUCAUCAAGUCCGGAGCCCCAUGAAUUGAUUGCCUAGCGUUGUUCAUGCAUCCUCCACCAUCAAGUCCGGAGCCCCACGAAUUGAUUGCCUAGCGCUGUUCAUGCAUCCUCCACCAUCAAGUCCGGAGCCCCAGGAAUUGAUUGCAUAGCACUGUUCGUGCAUCAUCCACCAUCAAGUCCGGAGCCCCAUGAAUUGAUUGCCUAGCGCUGUUCAUGCAUCAUCCACCAUUGAGUCUGGAGCCCCAUGAAUUGAUUGCCAUUCAUGCAUCCUCCACCAUCGAGUCCGGAGCCCCACGAAUUGAUUGCCUAGCGCUGUUCGUGCAUCCUCCACCAUCAAAUCUUAUUCGGAGCCCCAUGAAUUGAUUGCCAUUCAUGCAUCCUCCACCAUCGAGUCCGGAGCCCCACGAAUUGAUUGCCUAGCGCUGUUCGUGCAUCCUCCACCAUCAAAUCUUAUUCGGAGCCCCAUGAAUUGAUUGUCAUUCAUGCAUCCUCCACCAUCGAGUCCGGAGCCCCACGAAUUGAUUGCCUAAUGUUGUUCGUGCAUCCUCCACCAUCAAGUCUUAUUCGUAGCCCCAUGAAUUGAUUGCCAUUCAUGCAUCCUCCACCAUCGAGUCCGGAGCCCCACGAAUUGAUUGCCUAGCGCUACUCGUGCAUCCUCCACCAUCAAAUCUUAUUCGGAGCCCCUUGAAUUGAUUGCCAUUCAUGCAUCCUCCACCAUUGAGACCGGAACCCUAUGAAUUGAUUGCCUAGCGCUGUUCAUGCAUCCCCCACCAUCAAGUCUGGAGCCCCAUGAAUUGAUUGCCAUUCAUGCAUCCUCCACCAUCAAGUCCGGAGCCCUACGAAUUGAUUGCCUAGCGCUGUUCGUGCAUCCUCCACCAUCAAAUCUGAGUCUGGAGCCCCACGAAUUGAUUUCCUAGCGUUGUUCGUGCAUCCUCCAUCAUCGAGUCCGAAGUCCCACGAAUUGAUUGCCUAACACUGUUCAUGCGUCCUCUGUUAUCAAGUAUGGAGCCUCCGGUGAGGGGAAAAUAUGGUUGUUUUUAUUCUCCCAUUCGGUUCCUUCAACAAACAUGUCUAUACGUGUAUAUUAUGUUAUUUUUUUUUUGUUUGUUUUGUUUUGUGUUGUGUAGAGAAAGAAGAAGGAGAUACGAGAGUCAAUUAUUUCAAAUCGUUUUGGUUGGAACUAUUGUGAUUGAGAUCAAUUAAAUCCCCAUGAUGGGCAAAGGAUGGCCUUCGGGAAUCAUCAUAGAUUAAUUACGGAAAAGGCUAAGACGGACGAAAUUAGUGUCUUAUCUUUA
RNAcentral lists this long non-coding RNA (2110 nucleotides) under Glycine max (soybean). RNAcentral's name for it is "long non-coding RNA (GMAX_LNC004341)". The record is from RNAcentral. Lineage: Eukaryota; Viridiplantae; Streptophyta; Magnoliopsida; Fabales; Fabaceae.